UGGGGAAUUUUGGACAAUGGGGGCAACCCUGAUCCAGCCAUUCCGCGUGAGUGAAGAAGGCCUUCGGGUUGUAAAGCUCUUUCAGCUGGAACGAAACGGUACGCUCUAACAUAGCGUGCAAAUGACGGUACCAGCAGAAGAAGCACCGGCUAACUACGUGCCAGCAGCCGCGGUAAUACGUAGGGUGCGAGCGUUAAUCGGAAUUACUGGGCGUAAAGCGUGCGCAGGCGGAUUGUUAAGCAAGACGUGAAAUCCCCGGGCUUAACCUGGGAAUGGCGUUUUGAACUGGCAGUCUAGAGUGUGUCAGAGGGGGGUAGAAUUCCACGUGUAGCAGUGAAAUGCGUAGAGAUGUGGAGGAAUACCAAUGGCGAAGGCAGCCCCCUGGGAUAACACUGACGCUCAUGUACGAAAGCGUGGGUAGCAAACAGGAUUAGAUACCCUGGUAGUCCACGCCCUAAACGAUGUCAACUGGUUGUUGGGGGAGUGAAA
Molecule: ribosomal RNA, 489 nt
Filed under: uncultured bacterium
Lineage: Bacteria
Description: bacterial SSU rRNA
Rfam family: Bacterial small subunit ribosomal RNA
Source: RNAcentral